This 54-nucleotide transfer RNA is filed under the name Gammarus lacustris. Its description in RNAcentral is "tRNA-Val". Lineage: Eukaryota; Metazoa; Arthropoda; Malacostraca; Amphipoda; Gammaridae. The record is from RNAcentral.
AAAGGCGGUUAGAAUUUUCACUUACAAUGAAAAAUACCCUUUAGGGCGCUUUUA